Molecule: transfer RNA, 91 nt
Filed under: Ferrimonas lipolytica
Lineage: Bacteria; Pseudomonadati; Pseudomonadota; Gammaproteobacteria; Alteromonadales; Ferrimonadaceae
Description: Ferrimonas sp. S7 tRNA-Ser
Rfam family: tRNA
About the family: Transfer RNA (tRNA) molecules are approximately 80 nucleotides in length.
Source: RNAcentral
GGAGGGAUGGCAGAGUGGUCGAAUGCACCGGUCUUGAAAACCGGCAGGGGUUAAUAGCUCCUCUAGGGUUCAAAUCCCUAUCCCUCCGCCA